GGAUGAAGCUCUCCACUGGCAUCAUUUUCUGCUCCCUGGUCCUGGGUGUCAGCAGCCAAGGAUGGUUAACAUUCCUCAAGGCAGCUGGUCCAGGGACUAAAGACAUGUGGAAAGCCUACUCUGACAUGAAAGAAGCCAAUUACAAAAAAUUCAGACAAAUACUUCCAUGCUUGGGGGAACUAUGAUGCUGUACAAAGGGGGCUUGGGGCUGUCUGGGCUACAGAAGUGACUACAGCGAUGCCAGAGAGAACGUCCAGAGACUCACAGGAGACCAUGCAGAGGAUUCGCUGGCUGGCCAGGCUACCAACAAAUGGGGCCAGAGUGGCAAAGACCCCAAUCACUUCCGACCUGCUGGCCUGCCAGAG
RNAcentral lists this long non-coding RNA (365 nucleotides) under Homo sapiens (human). RNAcentral's name for it is "non-protein coding lnc-SAAL1-1:3". Lineage: Eukaryota; Metazoa; Chordata; Mammalia; Primates; Hominidae. The record is from RNAcentral.